Molecule: ribosomal RNA, 497 nt
Filed under: uncultured bacterium
Lineage: Bacteria
Description: partial 16S ribosomal RNA
Rfam family: Bacterial small subunit ribosomal RNA
Source: RNAcentral
GAUGAACGCUGGCGGCGUGCCUAACACAUGCAAGUCGAGCGAACAGACGAUGCUCUUGCUCGUCUGACGUUAGCGGCGGACGUGUGAGUAACACGUGUAUCACCUACCUAUAAUUCUGGUAUCAUUUCGAGAAUCCGGCUCUUAUACCGGAUAAUAUAUUGAACCACAUGGUUCAUUGGAGAAAGACGGUUUUUCUGUCACUUAUAGCUGGAUCCGCGCCGUAUUAGAUAGUUGGUACGGUAACGGCUUACCAAGGCGACGAUGCGUAGCCGAACUGAGAGGGGGAUAGGCGACACGAGAACUGAGACACGGUCAAGAGUACUACGGGAGGCAGCAGUAGGGAAUCUGACGCAACGGGGGAAAGCAUGACGGAGCAACGCCGCGCGAGUGAUGAAGAUGUUGGGAUCGUAAAAAUCUGUUAUUAGGGAAGAACAGAUGUGGAAGUAACUAUGGAGGGAGUGACGGUAACUGAUAAGAAAGCAACGGCUAACUACGUG